RNAcentral lists this ribosomal RNA (376 nucleotides) under Fuligo septica var. flava. RNAcentral describes it as "partial small subunit ribosomal RNA". It matches the Rfam family "Bacterial small subunit ribosomal RNA", at positions 570 to 930 of the family's 1533-position model. Lineage: Eukaryota; Evosea; Eumycetozoa; Physariida; Physaraceae. The record is from RNAcentral.
CGUAGGCGAAUAAUUAAAAAUACAGUAAAAGACUGAAGAAGGACUUCUUUAAUCUGUGUUCACUGGUUAUUUUGUGUGCUAUGGGCGGUUUUAGAAUUCUUGAAGGAAGGGUAAAAUUGUUGAUAUAGGAAGACUUUCGAUAGCGAAGGCAUUUGCCGACAUGGUUCAGACGCUAGGUACUAAAGCUUGGGUAGAAAGAGGAUUAGAGACCUCGUAGUCCAUGCCUUAAACAAUGAGUGUUCAACGUCUUUUAAAACUGGAAUUCACUAUGAAUUUUUUAGGGUUAUUGGGGGUUUGAAGCUAACGCGCGAAACACCGCCUGGGGAAUGUGGCCGCAAGGUUAAACUCAAAGGAAUUGACGGAGGCUCAUACAAGG